AGCAGCCGCGGUAAUUCCAGCUCCAAUAGCGUAUAUUAAAGUUGUUGCAGUUAAAAAGCUCGUAGUUGAAUUUCGGGAUCAAAUUGUUGGUCGUGCUUCGGUACGCACUGGCAUUAUUGGUUCCUACCUUCUGAAGAACCGCGAUGUCAUUAAUUUGGUGUCGUGGGGAAUCAGGACUGUUACUUUGAAAAAUUAGAGUGUUUAAAGCAGGCUUACGCUUGAAUACAUUAGCAUGGAAUAAUGAAAUAGGACGUUUGAUUCUAUUUUGUUGGUUUCUAGGAUCGACGUAAUGAUUAAUAGGGAUAGUUGGGGGCAUUAGUAUUCAAUUGUCAGAGGUGAAAUUCUUGGAUUUAUUGAAGACUAACUACUGCGAAAGCAUUUGCCAAGGAUGUUUUCAUUAAUCAAGAACGAAAGUUAGGGGAUCGAAGACGAUCAGAUACCGUCGUAGUCUUAACCAUAAACUAUGCCGACUAGGGAUCGGAUGAUGUAAUUUUUUAAUGACUCAUUCGGCGCCUUACG
Molecule: ribosomal RNA, 519 nt
Filed under: uncultured Glomeromycotina
Lineage: Eukaryota; Fungi; Glomeromycota
Description: SSU rRNA
Rfam family: Eukaryotic small subunit ribosomal RNA
Source: RNAcentral